RNAcentral lists this long non-coding RNA (1170 nucleotides) under Carica papaya (papaya). Its description in RNAcentral is "long non-coding RNA (CPAP_LNC005947)". The record is from RNAcentral. Lineage: Eukaryota; Viridiplantae; Streptophyta; Magnoliopsida; Brassicales; Caricaceae.
UGACUUAAUCCAUGUUGAGUGGCAAUUACAGGUCUACCAUUUCCUUUUGUGAGCUUGCUUAUAUUUGGAAUGGGACCGUGGCAUCUCGGAAUUAGAACCUACAAUCUUUCCUUUUUCCAAUGUAUUUAAUCCCCCCAUCCUCCCCAUAAAUGAAUGGCAUUCGCCAUACUUGCAACAUGGCUGGCGCACAACUAACUGCAUGCAAAUUGAUUGUAUGACUGUUAGCAUACACCAGCGGGACACACCUCAUCCCAGUUCAUCUACACUCUUCUAACUGUAUCUAAUUUCAUCUCUAAGUAGUAUUAGUGACGAUUCUUAUUUUAUGUUUAUUCGAAUAACGAUUGAAGCAACGAGAUUAAAAUCAAUUAAAUAGUAUUCCUAAUCCAAGUUUAGUUACCAAAAUACAAAAUCCAAGGCAUUAAGUACUAAUUAUCAUGCAUUAAAUACCAAAAUAACACUGGAUUAUCAACAUGGUAAUCUCUGUUUUACAAAAAAUCCGAUACGAUCAUGUUCGUUUGACUUGCCAGUUAUGUCUAGUACUCAGGUCUGUCACCAAUAUAUGCACACAAUGACCAAUAAGGCAGAGUGUACAGCCCUAUGUGCCUGGUGUGCAGUUAAUGCCAUCCAGGACAUGUCUCUGCCUACUACUAUAUGUAGUUACUCUUAAGUUCAUCACACAUUAUUGAGUUCCUUAUGUUAUUUAAUAUUCUUACAUAUAUAUAUAUAUAUCUUAAUUUUAGUAUUUAUUAUUCAUAUAAUUUGAGAUAUUAGUUGAAUUUGAAUUACUGUAUUAUUUUUUUUUUUAUAUUAAGAAAAUUAAGAAAUCGUCGUACACAUUUUAUGACGCGUACUUUUUUGUUCGGUAGUUCUCCUACCGUCGAUUAUUAUAUGAUCGGGGACCACAAACCAUUAAAAUCUUAAUAAAUUUUGGAACAGGUGGAGAGUAGUUUUUCACUAAAACUCAAAAAAUUUUAAUUUGUGAAAUCACUGUAAUAUAUGCAUUCAAUCUUUAAAUAUUUAUUAUUAGGAUACUAUUAAAUCAUAUCUAAUUACAAUUUAUCCAUUUAAUUAAGAUUUGUAUUGAAAUUAAAAUUUAAUUAAUUGGAUCGGAAAUUCUUCUGCGAUUAUAUUUACCUGCCAGGAGCUUUCAAUUCGCCCACUCCGGAUAAC